UUGCUCCCUGAUGUUAGCGGCGGACGGGUGAGUAACACGUGGGUAACCUGCCUGUAAGACUGGGAUAACUCCGGGAAACCGGGGCUAAUACCGGAUGCUUGUUUGAACCGCAUGGUUCAAACAUAAAAGGUGGCUUCGGCUACCACUUACAGAUGGACCCGCGGCGCAUUAGCUAGUUGGUGAGGUAACGGCUCACCAAGGCAACGAUGCGUAGCCGACCUGAGAGGUGAUCGGCCACACUGGGACUGAGACACGGCCCAGACUCCUACGGGAGGCAGCAGUAGGGAAUCUUCCGCAAUGGACGAAAGUCUGACGGAGCAACCCCGCGUGAGUGAUGAAAGUUUUCGGAUCGUAAAGCUCUGUUGUUAGGGAAGAACAAGUAC
This 383-nucleotide ribosomal RNA is filed under the name Bacillus subtilis. Its description in RNAcentral is "bacterial SSU rRNA". It matches the Rfam family "Bacterial small subunit ribosomal RNA", at positions 79 to 456 of the family's 1533-position model. Lineage: Bacteria; Bacillati; Bacillota; Bacilli; Caryophanales; Bacillaceae. The record is from RNAcentral.